AUCAAGGAUAUAUGUUGGGUUUUUUCUCUUCUCCUCCCUGCCUCCUUUUAUAUAAAUAGUAACAGAUUCUAUACACUUUCUGCCUAUUUUUCUUUUUAAAUGAUGUAACCUAGAGAUAUCUCUGUAUCAGUGCUUAAGAGCUUCCUCAUUCUGUUGCACAGCAUUCCAUUAAACAGGUGUGCCACAUUUUAAGGGAUCUCAAACACCCUCAAAGGACAAUAGGGGACCAUAAAAAGAUUUUAGAUUUCUAGAAUACUCCCUGUGAUGAAUCAUGGAUUAUCAAGGCCAGGUGGUGAAAGAGGCCCUGAAUGUAAGACCAAAGGAAAAAAUGGUAUUCUUUCAUCUGCUUCUCUGCUUCAUUUUUUUACCUGCUCCUGGACAUCUUCAAACUCUGAGCUGAGCAACUCUAUGAAGAUAGGCACAGCUCCUGCCUGAAUUACAAUCCGCGUCUGAAGAGAAUUUCCUGAAGCAAUAUUUGUCAAUACCCAAGCUGAUUCAAACUAUAAAGAUAAAAAUAAUUUUAUUAUAUUAUGAGCAUUUAAUAGCUUGUUUUUAGCUAUAACAAUAAGGUUUUCUGUAUGUGAAGAAAAGAAUCUGAAAUCAGUAUUUACACACAAUCUAUCAGAUGGAUUCUGUAUCAAUUUUAAAUGGAGAAUUCCCAGUACAAAAACCUUGACCUAGAAUAUUCAGUCUAAAAUUUGGCCUAAAAUUUCAGACCAAAGUAGAGCUGACAUAAUACAUAAAAAAAGAAUGAGGGACUGCUUCAUAUGCUGCCAUAAAUGAUCUCCCAAGAAACAAAUGAAAAAAAGGAAAAAAAAAAAAAAAGCCUAAUAGUGUACAUUAAGAUAGGAUCAUACUGUAUUUUCUAAAAGGGUUAAGAAGGAAUAUAUGCAUUAAUUUACUUAUGGUACAGAAUAUCUCUGGCACGAGUCAUAAGAAACUGUAAAUACUUGUUAACUACAUGGAAAGGUAAGGGUGAAUGGGAAAGAAAAUCUUAUGUAUCAUUUUGGCCUUAAACCAUGUAUAUUAUCUAAUUUAAAAAAAGUAAAUAAUUUCUAUAAGAUGGACAGAGAAAAGUGGAGAGGAUCUUAAUGGAAAAUGUGUAAGACACAAGGACAGUGAAAAAGGCCAAAGAUAUUUUAAAUGAUAAGUGAGCCAAAAGGAGCUAACUGGCAUUCAAAUAGAAAUGGCAACAUUAGAGCAUAAGAGCUGCUGACAAAUGAGAGGGCUCCAAACUAAAGUACAGAGGUAAGAUUUUUUUUAAAUUAUUUUUAUUAACAUAUAAUGUAUUAUUUGCCCCAGGGGUACAGGUCUGUGAACUGUCAGGCUUACACACUUCACAGCACUCACCAUAGCAUAUACCCUCCCCAAUGUCCACCACCCAACCACCCUCUCCAUACCGGAGAUAAGAUUUUUUAAAAAGAGCAUUCUUUAAGGCUGAUAAACUGGUAAACAGAAAGUAUGAAAGAAAUCAUGGCCAACAAAAAGUACAGCAUUUUACUAAUCUGUCCAUCUGUGCAGUAAUUUGACUCUACCCUAAAAUGGAGAAAUCCAAGAAUGAACUCAUAAAUUCUAUUUACUUAAAAGAGUUCUUAUUCUUACUAAACUUUAGUUUUGUUUCCUUAUUCUGUUCUAUUUAGCAUUUAAUAAAGCACAUACACAGAAAAAAAUUCAGUGGCAUGUCCCUUGAAUGAGAGAUCAGUAAAAAGUCACUGAAAGAGCUGUGACUCUUCUAAAAGAACUUUUGUGUCAACUGAAAGGCAGCUGUCAUAUGGAAAACUAAAUAAUCAAUCAUUGGAUUCGGGGGAAGGAAAGCAGAAGACAUGGAAAGACAAUCUGAUUAUCAUAAUCCAAAGCAUGUGAAUGAUAGCAAAUUCACAAUAGUAGAUGCCUAAAGAAGGGGACGUUCCAAGAAACCUAUGAAAGUGAUAAAUACAAAUGAGUACAGAGGUUAGGCAGCCUAACUGGACAAUGAUAUUACAGUAGCAAGGAGGUCCAAACCAGGAGCACCACAGUUAAAGGGAAAAUAUUUUCUUUUUGAUAAGUUUGUUAAAAGAGAAGUUCAAGAGACUUCUAAACACUGAAUAUCAUAAAAUAAAAAUUCUAUUACAUACCAUGUUCAUAACUGAAUCACUCCUGAAACCCAUGCUCAAAGCCUUUUCAAUCUGUCUGAAUUGAAACCUUACAUUUGUUCAGUACUUUGUAUUUUCAAAGCAUUACUCACAUAUGUUUCUCACAACAUCCCAGAGAAGUCUGGCUUUGGUAGUUUAUGAAUGAGGAAACUAUCAGAAAAAGGGCCAAUAAUCUAUUUAUGUUAUGAAGCCAUUCAGAGAACUAGAUUACAGCCUCCCAAUAGAGUAUGCUUAUGAAGCCCAGCCACAGUCUCGUCUCAGACACACACCUGUAACAUUGACAAGAAUCUUUCAAUUCCUUGAGUUUUGCUAUCUACGCAAGAAAUUUCAAAUAAUGAUAUGCGGAUUAUUUAGGGGAUGCUAAAAAGAAAACAGUUUACCUAAAAUGCAGUUUCUUUUGCUUUCUAGGAAAACUAACUAGCAGAGUUAAAACUUGGAGACAGAUGAUGUGAAUACAAAAGCAAACCUUCCUACCAGACGGCAGGCUCCAAGUUGAACAAAGAGUCAUGAGAUACUGCAGAGACCAAGUCAAAGAAAUGACAACUGUGAGGAAAAGCUGUGUAUGAAGAAUGAGUGAGAUGGGCAUACAUACCAGUCUCUGUCAAAGAGAAAACAGACUGCGAUGAGAUUCUAAUGUAAAUGAAAUGACAACAAUAACCUGCAUGGAUAAAGGCUUAUUAAAGAAUUACCAAUGAGAUAAAAUUAGAAUAGUCAUUGCUGUCAGGAGAGUUGAAGCUGCUCUCUGUCUUAUGAGAUUUAGUACCAGGAGUCUCACAGGAAGUGAGAGGGAAUUCCAGAUGCUACUUAAGAGAAUGAAAUGGAAAAGCAAAACAGAGUGAAAAUGAGUAAGAAAACAGAGAGUAAGUGAACAGGGAUGGAAGAAAAAGGGAAAUUAGGCUAUCUCAGCAAAAGAAGAAUGUACCAGAGUCAUGUUUAUUACUAAGAAGUACAUAGUGAUGAUAA
This is a long non-coding RNA of Lutra lutra (Eurasian river otter), 3095 nucleotides long. RefSeq lists it as uncharacterized. The record is from RefSeq and is a predicted model, not a curated record. The transcript has 2 exons. Lineage: Eukaryota; Metazoa; Chordata; Mammalia; Carnivora; Mustelidae.